ACUCCUACGGGAGGCAGCAGUGGGGAAUAUUGGACAAUGGGCGAAAGCCUGAUCCAGCCAUGCCGCGUGUGUGAAGAAGGCCUUCGGGUUGUAAAGCACUUUCAGUGAGGAAGAAAGCCUGGGG
RNAcentral lists this ribosomal RNA (124 nucleotides) under uncultured bacterium. RNAcentral's name for it is "partial 16S ribosomal RNA". It matches the Rfam family "Bacterial small subunit ribosomal RNA", at positions 335 to 458 of the family's 1533-position model. The record is from RNAcentral.